RNAcentral lists this ribosomal RNA (253 nucleotides) under uncultured bacterium. RNAcentral describes it as "partial 16S ribosomal RNA". It matches the Rfam family "Bacterial small subunit ribosomal RNA", at positions 524 to 776 of the family's 1533-position model. The record is from RNAcentral.
UACGUAGGGUGCGAGCGUUAAUCGGAAUUACUGGGCGUAAAGCGUGCGCAGGCGGCUGUGCAAGACAGGUGUGAAAUCCCCGGGCUCAACCUGGGAACUGCACUUGUGACUGCACGGCUCGAGUACGGCAGAGGGGGAUGGAAUUCCGCGUGUAGCAGUGAAAUGCGUAGAUAUGCGGAGGAACACCGAUGGCGUAGGCAGUCCCCUGGGCCUGUACUGACGCUCAUGCACGAAAGCGUGGGGAGCAAACAGG